Molecule: ribosomal RNA, 1840 nt
Filed under: Serratia nematodiphila
Lineage: Bacteria; Pseudomonadati; Pseudomonadota; Gammaproteobacteria; Enterobacterales; Yersiniaceae
Description: bacterial LSU rRNA
Rfam family: Bacterial large subunit ribosomal RNA
Source: RNAcentral
GGGUUGUGAGGUUAAGUGACUAAGCGUACACGGUGGAUGCCUAGGCAGUCAGAGGCGAUGAAGGGCGUGCUAAUCUGCGAAAAGCGUCGGUAAGGUGAUAUGAACCGUUAUAACCGGCGAUACCCGAAUGGGGAAACCCAGUGUGUUUCGACACACUAUCAUGUCAUGAAUACAUAGUGGCAUGAGGCGAACCGGGGGAACUGAAACAUCUAAGUACCCGAGGAAAAGAAAUCAACCGAGAUUCCCCCAGUAGCGGCGAGCGAACGGGGAGGAGCCCAGAACCUGAAUCGGCUUGUGUGUUAGUGGAAGCGUCUGGAAAGUCGCGCAGCAAAGGGUGAUAGCCCCGUACACUAAAAUGCACAGGUCGUGAGUUCGAUGAGUAGGGCGGGACACGUGACAUCCUGUCUGAAUAUGGGGGGACCAUCCUCCAAGGCUAAAUACUCCUGACUGACCGAUAGUGAACCAGUACCGUGAGGGAAAGGCGAAAAGAACCCCGGCGAGGGGAGUGAAAUAGAACCUGAAACCGUGUACGUACAAGCAGUGGGAGCACCUUCGUGGUGUGACUGCGUACCUUUUGUAUAAUGGGUCAGCGACUUAUAUUUUGUAGCAAGGUUAACCGUAUAGGGGAGCCGUAGGGAAACCGAGUCUUAACUGGGCGACUAGUUGCAAGGUAUAGACCCGAAACCCGGUGAUCUAGCCAUGGCAGGUUGAAGGUUGGGUAACACUAACUGGAGGACCGAACCGACUAAUGUUGAAAAAUUAGCGGAUGACUUGUGGCUGGGGGUGAAAGGCCAAUCAAACCGGGAGAUAGCUGGUUCUCCCCGAAAGCUAUUUAGGUAGCGCCUCGUGAACUCAUCUUCGGGGGUAGAGCACUGUUUCGGCUAGGGGGCCAUCCCGGCUUACCAAACCGAUGCAAACUCCGAAUACCGAAGAAUGUUAUCACGGGAGACACACGGCGGGUGCUAACGUCCGUCGUGAAGAGGGAAACAACCCAGACCGCCAGCUAAGGUCCCAAAGUCAUGGUUAAGUGGGAAACGAUGUGGGAAGGCAUAGACAGCCAGGAUGUUGGCUUAGAAGCAGCCAUCAUUUAAAGAAAGCGUAAUAGCUCACUGGUCGAGUCGGCCUGCGCGGAAGAUGUAACGGGGCUAAACCAUGCACCGAAGCUGCGGCAGCGACGCUUAGCGUUGUUGGGUAGGGGAGCGUUCUGUAAGCCGUUGAAGGUGGCCUGUGAGGGUUGCUGGAGGUAUCAGAAGUGCGAAUGCUGACAUAAGUAACGAUAAAGCGGGUGAAAAGCCCGCUCGCCGGAAGACCAAGGGUUCCUGUCCAACGUUAAUCGGGGCAGGGUGAGUCGACCCUAAGGCGAGGCUGAAAAGCGUAGUCGAUGGGAAACAGGUUAAUAUUCCUGUACUUGGUGUUACUGCGAAGGGGGGACGGAGAAGGCUAGGCUAGCCGGGCGACGGUUGUCCCGGUUUAAGCGUGUAGGGGGUGUGACCUGGUAAAUCCGGUUGCAUGUUAACCCUGAGGCGUGAUGACGAUGCACUACGUGCAGAAGUAGUUGAUGCCCUGCUUCCAGGAAAUCCUCUAAGCUCCAGGUAACAUUAAAUCGUACCCCAAACCGACACAGGUGGUCAGGUAGAGAAUACCAAGGCGCUUGAGAGAACUCGGGUGAAGGAACUAGGCAAAAUGGUGCCGUAACUUCGGGAGAAGGCACGCUGGCAUGUAGGUGAAGUCCCUUGCGGAUGAGCUGAAGCCAGUCGAAGAUACCAGCUGCUGCAACGGUUUAAUAAAAACACAGCACUGUGCAAACACGAAAGUGGACGUAUACGGUGUGACGCCUGCC